UUCGUAUGCUGGCUGUUGCAUGUUAUUAACUUUGUGUCUUCUCUCACCCUGUACCUCCCUGCAGGUAUUUCCAGCUCUCAACCUGCAGCCUGAUCUGCAGCUACUGGUCCAACCAAUCAGUCCAGUGUUUAUGUUCUCUUGUCUGUUCUCUCUGCCGACCUUUUCUCUCUUCCCUUUUACCCUCACUCCGACCAGACUGCCGUCCCCCUGCCUGGUUCUGCUGCAUGCUCACCUAUUGAUGAAUGGAAGAGGGAUUUUUUUGUUAGUCAGUAACUUCUUUAAAGCACUCAGACUCAUUAUUUGUGCAGACUCAGACAAUGGAAGGAAUGCACCUACAAAUGUCCUCUCGACACAGAAGAAGGAAAACUAGGAAUCCUGCUUAUCCGACCUACCUGAUGAUCGUGGAAGGCGAUAACGUGGAAACUGUUAAAGCACAGAGUGCACAGGAGAACCCAACAUUCAGGGCAAAGCUCAUCUACUACACUCUCGUCUUUCUCAGGGUGGCUCUGUGGAUUACCUUUGCUUGGAUCCUGUCUCACCUCCACCUGGGUGCUCCAUGUUUCCUCCUGGCCGUGACCAUUUGGUUGUACUCGAAGCCGAUGAAGAGUGCUCUGAAAUGGGCUAAGAGGCGCCUGAGAGGUCCAGAUGCCUGAAGUGUCACACUGAGCUAAACAGAUGUAUGAGCAAAAUAGCAAAAGAAUA
Molecule: long non-coding RNA, 702 nt
Organism: Amphiprion ocellaris (clown anemonefish)
Lineage: Eukaryota; Metazoa; Chordata; Actinopteri; Pomacentridae
Exons: 3
Source: RefSeq, a predicted model, not a curated record